AUUGAACGCUGGCGGCAUGCCUUACACAUGCAAGUCGAACGGUAACGCGGGGCAACCUGGCGACGAGUGGCGAACGGGUGAGUAAUGCAUCAGAACGUGCCCAGUAGUGGGGGGAUAGCCCGGCGAAAGCCGGAUUAAUACCGCAUACGACCUACGGGUGAAAGCGGGGGACUCGCAAGAGCCUCGCGCUAUUGGAGCGGCCGAUGUCAGAUUAGGUAGUUGGUGGGGUAAAAGCCUACCAAGCCGACGAUCUGUAGCUGGUCUGAGAGGACGACCAGCCACACUGGGACUGAGACACGGCCCAGACUCCUACGGGAGGCAGCAGUGGGGAAUUUUGGACAAUGGGCGCAAGCCUGAUCCAGCCAUGCCGCGUGCGGGAAGAAGGCCUUCGGGUUGUAA
Molecule: ribosomal RNA, 399 nt
Filed under: uncultured bacterium
Lineage: Bacteria
Description: bacterial SSU rRNA
Rfam family: Bacterial small subunit ribosomal RNA
Source: RNAcentral